AGGAUAAACGCUGGCGGCGUGCCUAACACAUGCAAGUCGAACGCGCUUUCGGGCUUCGGUGCGAGAGCGAGUGGCGGACGGGUGAGUAACACAUGGGUACCUACCUUGGAGUGAGGGAUACCGGCGAGAAAUCGCCGACAAUACCGCAUAGGCUUCUUCACAAGGGAAGCAAAGUGACGCGAGUCACGCUGUGAGAUGGGCCUGUGGCCGAUUAGCUAGUUGGGGGGGUAACGGCUUCCCAAGGCGACGAUCGGUAGCUGGUCUGAGAGGACGAUCAGCCACACUGGGAUUGAGAACGGCCCAGACUCCUACGGGGGGCAGCAGUGAGGAAUUUUCCGCAAUGGAGGCAACUCUGACGGAGCAACGCCGCGUGCAGGAGGAAGGUUUUCGGAUCGUAAACUGCUUUUCUCGGGGACGAGCAAGGACGGUACCCAAGGAAGAAGCCCCGGCUAACGUACGUGCCAGCAGCCGC
Molecule: ribosomal RNA, 472 nt
Filed under: uncultured bacterium
Lineage: Bacteria
Description: SSU rRNA
Rfam family: Bacterial small subunit ribosomal RNA
Source: RNAcentral